UACGGGGGGAGCAAGCGUUGUUCGGAUUUACUGGGCGUAAAGGGCGCGUAGGCGGCGCAACAAGUCACUUGUGAAAUCUCCGGGCUUAACCCGGAGCGGCCAAGUGAUACUGUCGUGCUAGAGUGCGGAAGGGGCUACUGGAAUUCUCGGUGUAGCGGUGAAAUGCGUAGAUAUCGAGAGGAACACCUGCGGCGAAGGCGGGUAGCUGGGCCGACACUGGCGCUGAGGCGCGAAAGCCAGGGGAGCGAACGGG
Molecule: ribosomal RNA, 253 nt
Filed under: uncultured bacterium
Lineage: Bacteria
Description: partial 16S ribosomal RNA
Rfam family: Bacterial small subunit ribosomal RNA
Source: RNAcentral